RNAcentral lists this ribosomal RNA (865 nucleotides) under uncultured bacterium. RNAcentral describes it as "bacterial SSU rRNA". It matches the Rfam family "Bacterial small subunit ribosomal RNA", at positions 518 to 1378 of the family's 1533-position model. The record is from RNAcentral.
CGGUAAUACGUGGGGUGCGAGCGUUGUCCGGAUUUAUUGGGCGUAAAGGGCUCGUAGGUGGUUGAUCGCGUCGGAAGUGUAAUCUUGGGGCUUAACCCUGAGCGUGCUUUCGAUACGGGUUGACUUGAGGAAGGUAGGGGAGAAUGGAAUUCCUGGUGGAGCGGUGGAAUGCGCAGAUAUCAGGAGGAACACCAGUGGCGAAGGCGGUUCUCUGGGCCUUUCCUGACGCUGAGGAGCGAAAGCGUGGGGAGCGAACAGGCUUAGAUACCCUGGUAGUCCACGCUGUAAACGGUGGGUACUAGGUGUGGGGUCCAUUCCACGGGUUCCGUGCCGUAGCUAACGCUUUAAGUACCCCGCCUGGGGAGUACGGCCGCAAGGCUAAAACUCAAAGGAAUUGACGGGGCCCCGCACAAGCGGCGGAGCAUGCGGAUUAAUUCGAUGCAACGCGUAGAACCUUACCUGGGUUUGACAUGGAUCGGGAGUGCUCAGAGAUGGGUGUGCCUCUUUUGGGGUCGGUUCACAGGUGAUGCAUGGCUGUCGUCAGCUCGUGUCGUGAGAUGUUGGGUUAAGUCCCGCAACGAGCGCAACCCUUGUUCACUGUUGCCAGCACGUUAUGGUGGGGACUCAGUGGAGACCGCCGGGGUCAACUCGGAGGAAGGUGGGGAUGACGUCAAGUCAUCAUGCCCCUUAUGUCCAGGGCUUCACGCAUGCUACAAUGGCUGGUACAGAGAGUGGCGAGCCUGUGAGGGUGAGCGAAUCUCGGAAAGCCGGUCUCAGUUCGGAUUGGGGUCUGCAACUCGACCUCAUGAAGUCGGAGUCGCUAGUAAUCGCAGAUCAGCAACGCUGCGGUGAAUACGUUCCCGGG